This is a long non-coding RNA of Mirounga angustirostris (Northern elephant seal), 2004 nucleotides long. RefSeq lists it as uncharacterized. The record is from RefSeq and is a predicted model, not a curated record. Lineage: Eukaryota; Metazoa; Chordata; Mammalia; Carnivora; Phocidae. The transcript is spliced from 3 exons.
AAGCAUCUUGCCAGCCUGAGUUCAACUGGGCUUUUUGGCCCCACAGGCUUCUUUCUUCAGGAGUUCCCAUGUGUGAUCCAGACCUGCUGAUCAGUGUUCGGUGGGGUCACAUGUUCCCCACUCACAGAAGCUUGUGACUGUGUCCUAGGAAAGGACCGUGGAGCCACCGGAGUCAAGCCAUCCCUCAUUUUACAGAUGAGUAGAAGUGAGCUGUGCAAGGUCUCAGAGUGAUGCUGGGGCAGCAGGGGGACCAGAGCCCUGACUCCCAGAGCAGCACCCCCCACCACACCAGGCCACCCCUCUUCUCAACUGAACAUGGAGCAGAGCAAGGGGCUGCAGAGAGAUCACUUUCGCUUCCCAGAAUAAGAAGGUACCAACCAAAUGAAGUUGAGGAUCUUAUGAAAGUACUGCGGGCAACAAAAAAGAGGCAAAGUAGCAGUAAACCCACAAAAAUGCCUGUGUACCUCUUGCUUGACCUUUGAUGGCAGCCGAGACAUCACAGACACCAAGAGCAUGUAGCAUCAGGCCCCUGGGAAACAGAAAGCCAGCACUAGAAGUCUCUUCAAGAGAAACAUCAGAUAGCUGGCUCCUGUUGUUUCAAGCUUUACAAACAAGCUGAAUCAGAGCUCUACGAUUUUCCAGAUAAUUCCAUGCAGAAGCCAAUGGCACACACAUUCCUGAGACUUUCAUUGCAAUCAAUAAGUUAACUGUUGCUGUCAGCCUAUGCAAUUUCUCUGAUUAACCUGUGAAGAGUGUUCUCCUUCAUGAAUGCUGUUCAGAAAUAAACAGAUACUGUCAAAGGAGACAAGGGCAGGUUCCAGAACUUGAAUUCUUGGUGAUCUUAAAUGAUGAUGUAUGAAAGAAAGAGAGAGGGAGAACAAUUUGAUUUGCUCCAACUAGGUUGACCCAGAAAGGAGAAGAGCAGAAAAAUUGCUUUGCCUAAGCAAACAUGACAUCAAGUAAGACAAGAGCAGCAUUCACAAAAUGCAAUAUGGAAGCCUUAUUUAAAAUAUAUAUAGUCUGGAUCUGAAAGACACUUAAAUGCCGGUAAUAAAAAAGUCUUUGCUCAUUCUGUUUUUCUGCUGCUAUUUUUCUAUCCUCAUUGGCAACAGCUUCUACCUCCUCCCUGAGAUACUGUCCUAAGAUUUGGAGUGGGACUCCUUGGCUCUGGUUGAAUUAUGAUUGAAUUCAAAGUUCAGAUAGGCAAAAAAGCCAUCCAACACUAAAAAUCAAGCUGACUUCCAAAGAGAUGCUGGUUUUCUAAGGCAAUAUAGACACCCCUUUUGUAAAAAAGACUUAGAAUUCUCUGAGAAUUCUAAAAAAUUUAAACACAAUCUUUACCAGUAUCUAGUCUGCAUGGAAUUAUAGCUAGAUUUGUCUGGUGUCCCCCAAAGUAUUGUGAGCUCCUGAUUAUGCUCUAACCAGCUAUCCUUGGUUCAAAUUAGUGCACAAUAAAUAUUUGUUGAACGAAUGAAGGAUUUUCCUCUUCUUUUUCAUGUAAGGUUUGUCUUAGGGUUGGAGAGAGUAAUGAGGUCGAUUUUUAUCAACUUAAAAAUCUUGCCUUGGUCAUACAUAUUUGUGAGUGACAAUAUUACAUUCACUCACAUGUUUUCACUCUAUGCGAGACACAGAGGGACACAGGUCCCCGCCUUCUUGACAGUAGGCUUGGUCAUGUGAUCCCCUUUGGCCAAUGACCUGUGAACCGUGUGCUGUGCCCCUUCUAGGUGGAGACUCCAAUAGUUGUCUUUGUCCCAUUCUCACUUCCUCCACUACUGUAACAGGUGAAGCUCCAGAUGAUGGCUGUGCUGUGACCCUGGGUCCUGGAGUGAGAGUGAUGAUCAUGUGCAGCUGAUCCACAGAAAACCCACAAAACAUAUUUGGCAUGAAUGAGCAGUAAACUUGUGUUCUUUAUGAGUCAUUUUGGGGGGUGUUUGUAGGUGCCUUGUUGCCUAGCUCGGCUUAUCGAGAUCGAUAAAGUAUUGGCAAAGCUUCCGAAGAUAUUAC